AGACCCGAAACCCGGUGAUCUAGCCAUGGGCAGGUUGAAGGUUGGGUAACACUAACUGGAGGACCGAACCGACUAAUGUUGAAAAAUUAGCGGAUGACCUGUGGCUGGGGGUGAAAGGCCAAUCAAACCGGGAGAUAGCUGGUUCUCCCCGAAAGCUAUUUAGGUAGCGCCUCGUGAAUUCAUCUCCGGGGGUAGAGCACUGUUUCGGCUAGGGGGCCAUCCCGGCUUACCAACCCGAUGCAAACUGCGAAUACCGGAGAAUGUUAUCACGGGAGACACACGGCGGGUGCUAACGUCCGUCGUGAAGAGGGAAACAACCCAGACCGCCAGCUAAGGUCCCAAAGUCAUGGUUAAGUGGGAAACGAUGUGGGAAGGCCCAGACAGCCAGGAUGUUGGCUUAGAAGCAGCCAUCAUUUAAAGAAAGCGUAAUAGCUCACUGGUCGAGUCGGCCUGCGCGGAAGAUGUAACGGGGCUAAACCAUGCACCGAAGCUGCGGCAGCGAACGUAUCACUUAAAGCGAUUCAGCGGGUUACGAUUGACGGAGCGAAGCGACGUCAAAGCGUAUACAAAGUCGAGUCGGUUUAAGGAUACGUUCGUUGGGUAGGGGAGC
This 610-nucleotide ribosomal RNA is filed under the name Salmonella enterica subsp. enterica serovar Infantis. Its description in RNAcentral is "partial 23S ribosomal RNA". It matches the Rfam family "Bacterial large subunit ribosomal RNA", at positions 711 to 1237 of the family's 2925-position model. RNAcentral also lists the same sequence under 2 other names. The record is from RNAcentral. Lineage: Bacteria; Pseudomonadati; Pseudomonadota; Gammaproteobacteria; Enterobacterales; Enterobacteriaceae.